GGAUGACUCUCGGCAACGGAUAUCUCGGCUCUCGCAUCGAUGAAGAACGUAGCGAAAUGCGAUACCUGGUGUGAAUUGCAGAAUCCCGUGAACCAUCGAGUCUUUGAACGCAAGUUGCGCCCGAGGCCAUCCGGCCAAGGGCACGCCUGCCUGGGCGUCACGCUU
This 165-nucleotide ribosomal RNA is filed under the name Musa ornata. Its description in RNAcentral is "5.8S ribosomal RNA". It matches the Rfam family "5.8S ribosomal RNA". Rfam says of the family: 5.8S ribosomal RNA (5.8S rRNA) is a component of the large subunit of the eukaryotic ribosome. It is transcribed by RNA polymerase I as part of the 45S precursor that also contains 18S and 28S rRNA. Functionally, it is thought that 5.8S rRNA may be involved in ribosome translocation. The record is from RNAcentral. Lineage: Eukaryota; Viridiplantae; Streptophyta; Magnoliopsida; Zingiberales; Musaceae.